GGACACGUGAAACCCUGUGGGAAGCAGGAGGGACCACCCUCCAAGGCUAAAUACUACCUAGUGACCGAUAGCGUAUAGUACCGUGAGGGAAAGGUGAAAAGAACCCCGGGAGGGGAGUGAAAUAGAACCUGAAACCCUGCACUUACAAGCUGUGGAAGCACAUUUCUUGUGUGACCGCGUACUUUUUGUAGAACGGGCCAACGAGUUACGUUAAGUAGCAAGGUUAAGCACUUAAGGUGUGGAGCCGUAGCGAAAGCGAGUUUUAACUGAGCGUUCAGUUACUUGACGUAGACCCGAAACCGGGCGACCUACCCAUGAGCAGGAUGAAGCGAAAGUAAAAUUUCGUGGAGGUCCGAACCCACGAGCGUUGAAAAGCUCGGGGAUGACUUGUGGGUAGCGGUGAAAUUCCAAUCGAGCCCGGAGAUAGCUGGUUCUCCCCGAAAUAGCUUUAGGGCUAGCCUCAAGGUGAGAGAUACGGAGGUAGAGCACUGAAUGUCCUAGGGGGUAUUGCACCUACCGAAGACUAUCAAACUCCGAAUGCCGUCAUCUUAUACUUGGGAGUCAGACUGUGGGUGAUAAGAUUCAUAGUCGAAAGGGCAACAGCCCAGAUCGUCAGCUAAGGUCCCUAAAUGUAAGUUAAGUGGUAAAGGAUGUGGGAUUGCACAGACAACCAGGAUGUUGGCUUAGAAGCAGCCACUCAUUCAAAGAGUGCGUAAUAGCUCACUGGUCGAGUGAUCCUGCGCCGAAGAUUUCCGGGGCUAAAACUUACUACCGAAGCUACGGCAUCAGUAAUGAUGGGUAGGGGAGCUUCCCAUACGGGUUGAAGCAUGACCGUAAGGACAUGUGGACAGUAUGGGAGUGAGAAUGUUGGCAUGAGUAGCGAGAUGUGGGUGAGAAUCCCACAGGCCGUAAACCCAAGGUUUCCAGGGGAAGGUUCGUCCGCCCUGGGUUAGUCGGGACCUAAGCUGAGGCCGAAAGGCGUAGGUGAUGGACAACAGGUUGAUAUUCCUGUACUACCGAUAACCGUUUGAGAGAAGGGAUGACACAGUAGGAUAAGCUAAGCACACUGUUGGUUAUGUGUGCCCAAGCAUUGAGGCAGUCAAAGUAGGCAAAUCCGCUUUGAUAAUGCUGGGAUGUGAUGGGGAGCGAAAUUUAGUAGCGAAGUAGCUGAUUUCACACUGUCAAGAAAAGUCUCUAUCGAGGUUAAAGGUACCCGUACCGCAAACCGACACAGGUGGGUGAGGAGAGUAUCCUAAGGCCAGCGAGAGAACUGUUGUUAAGGAACUCGGCAAAAUGACCCCGUAACUUAGGGAUAAGGGGUGCCACCAUCAGGUGGCCGCAGAGAAUAGGCCCAAGCGACUGUUUACCAAAAACAUAGGUUUCUGCUAAGUCGCAAGACGAUGUAUAGGAGCUGACGCCUGCCCGGUGCUGGAAGGUUAAGGGGAUCUGUUAGAGCAAUCGAAGCAGUGAACUUAAGCCCCAGUAAACGGCGGCCGUAACUAUAACGGUCCUAAGGUAGCGAAAUUCCUUGUCGGGUAAGUUCCGACCCGCACGAAAGGCGUAACGAUUUGGGCACUGUCUCAACAACAGACUCGGUGAAAUUGUAAUUCCGGUGAAGAUGCCGGAUACCUGCGACAGGACGGAAAGACCCCAUGGAGCUUUACUGUAGCUUGACAUUGGGUCUUGGUACUACAUGUACAGGAUAGGUGGGAGGCUUUGAAACCAGGACGCCAGUUUUGGCGGAGCCAUCCUUGGGAUACCACCCUUGUAGUACUGGGACUCUAACCAUAGGCCAUGAAUCUGGUCUUGGGACACUGUCAGGUGGGCAGUUUGACUGGGGCGGUCGCCUCCCAAAAGGUAACGGAGGCGCUCAAAGGUUCUCUCAGUACGGUCGGAAAUCGUACGUAGAGUGUAAAGGCAAAAGAGAGCUUGAUUGCAAGACAUACAGGUCGAGCAAGGAUGAAAAUCGGACUUAGUGAUCCGGUGGUUCUGCGUGGAAGGGCCAUCGCUCAACGGAUAAAAGCUACCCUGGGGAUAACAGGCUUAUCUCCCCCAAGAGUCCACAUCGACGGGGAGGUUUGGCACCUCGAUGUCGGCUCAUCACAUCCUGGGGCUGUAGUAGGUCCCAAGGGUUGGGCUGUUCGCCCAUUAAAGUGGUACGCGAGCUGGGUUCAGAACGUCGUGAGACAGUUCGGUCCCUAUCCGUCGCAGGCGUAGGAAAUUUGAGAAGACCUGUCCUUAGUACGAGAGGACCGGGAUGGACGUACCUCUGGUGUACCAGUUGUCCUGCCAAGGGCAUGGCUGGGUAGCUAUGUACGGAAUGGAUAAGCGCUGAAAGCAUCUAAGCGCGAAGCCAACUUCAAGAUAAGAUUUCCCACCGCAAGGGUAAGACCCCAGAAAGACUAUCUGGUUGAUAGGUCGAAGGUGUAAGUGCAGCAAUGUAUUUAGCUUAUCGAUACUAAUAGGUCGAGGACUUGACCAA
This 2482-nucleotide ribosomal RNA is filed under the name Clostridioides difficile. Its description in RNAcentral is "bacterial LSU rRNA". It matches the Rfam family "Bacterial large subunit ribosomal RNA", at positions 420 to 2925 of the family's 2925-position model. The record is from RNAcentral. Lineage: Bacteria; Bacillati; Bacillota; Clostridia; Peptostreptococcales; Peptostreptococcaceae.